GACGAACGCUGGCGGCGUGCUUAACACAUGCAAGUCGAACGGAAAGGCCCUGCUUUUGUGGGGUGCUCGAGUGGCGAACGGGUGAGUAACACGUGAGUAACCUGCCCUUGACUUUGGGAUAACUUCAGGAAACUGGGGCUAAUACCGGAUAGGAGCUCCUGCUGCAUGGUGGGGGUUGGAAAGUUUCGGCGGUUGGGGAUGGACUCGCGGCUUAUCAGCUUGUUGGUGGGGUAGUGGCUUACCAAGGCUUUGACGGGUAGCCGACCUGAGAGGGUGACCGGCCACAUUAGGACUGAGGUACGGCCCAGACGCCUACGGGAGGCAGCAGUGGGGAAUAUUGCACAAUGGGCGGAAGCCUGAUGCAGCAACGCCGCGUGCGGGAUGACGGCCUUCGGGUUGUAAACCGCUUUCGCCUGUGACGAAGCGUGAGUGACGGUAAUGGGUAAAGAAGCACCGGCUAACUACGUG
This 468-nucleotide ribosomal RNA is filed under the name uncultured bacterium. RNAcentral describes it as "partial 16S ribosomal RNA". It matches the Rfam family "Bacterial small subunit ribosomal RNA", at positions 28 to 507 of the family's 1533-position model. The record is from RNAcentral.